This 81-nucleotide microRNA precursor is filed under the name Macacine gammaherpesvirus 4 (Rhesus lymphocryptovirus). RNAcentral's name for it is "microRNA rlcv-mir-rL1 precursor (rlcv-mir-rL1-16)". Its record names the gene rlcv-mir-rL1-16. It matches the Rfam family "mir-BART20 microRNA precursor family". The record is from miRBase by way of RNAcentral. Lineage: Duplodnaviria; Heunggongvirae; Peploviricota; Herviviricetes; Herpesvirales; Orthoherpesviridae.
GAGGGCCAGUUGAAGCAGGCAUGUCUUCAUUCCUGAUUUCCUGAUGGCAUGAAACACAUGGCCUGUUCCUAUUGGCACCUU